Amblyraja radiata (thorny skate) is the source of this 371-nucleotide long non-coding RNA. RefSeq lists it as uncharacterized. Lineage: Eukaryota; Metazoa; Chordata; Chondrichthyes; Rajiformes; Rajidae. The record is from RefSeq and is a predicted model, not a curated record. The transcript has 3 exons.
CAGAGUGCUGGCGUAACUCGCCGAGUCCGACCGCAUCUCUGGAGAACAAUCUGGUGACGUUUCCAGUUGGGAUCCUUCUACAGAUUUCAGGGAAUCUGAAGUCUUCUGUUUGAAAUUUUUCCAGUUCUCUCUCUUGCCCUCGAAGCUCAGCUGUUCAAAUCCAAAGAUGAAUUGCCUUGUGGUCCUGGUAGCUGGUCUCAUUCUCAGUGCCUCUCCAGGUAACUCUUUGCGGUGUUACUCCUGCUUAGGAUCAACGGAAAGAUGCGUGACUAAUACUAUUAACUGCUCUGCGGGGGAGCGAUGUGUCCUUGUGGUUGCAGAGGCUGCUUAUGUAAAGGUUUACGGAGCUGGAUGUGUUCGCCCUGCUAAUU